Ictidomys tridecemlineatus (thirteen-lined ground squirrel) is the source of this 4590-nucleotide long non-coding RNA. The record is from Ensembl. Lineage: Eukaryota; Metazoa; Chordata; Mammalia; Rodentia; Sciuridae.
AUGUGGUGCUGAAAAUCAAACCCAGUGCCUCACACAUGCUAGGCAAGUGCUCUACCACUGAGCUACAGCUCCAGCCCCCUUCCCUUCGUAUUUCUAUAGAGGGCCAUGUAAAGCUUUAGAUUCUGUUUAGACUCCAGGUUUUAAGAGUUCAACACAGAAAGAAUUUCAGGUCAUUUGUUUCCCUCCAGAAUGAAAUUCUAAUCUUGAGGGAGGUGGGAAGGACAGGCGAAUGCAUUAUUGCAAACCUUCUCCAGUGAUUCUGAGGUAUAGCUCUGGUUAAGAGCCCCUGCCCAACACCCUGAGAUAUUUGAGUGUAAGGACCAUGCCCUUCAACUUUGUAUUUAUUAAAUACAACCAAUGCCUGAUAUACAGUCAGUGCUCAGUAAAGGGUCAAGUGAACCAGUGGAAACAAGAGCUGAAGAAUGAUAGGGUCCAAAGAAAUGGAUGGAGGAUAGCUUAGGAAUAAGUAUGGUCCCUUCAUUUUUUUCAGUUGCCUUAGUGUUGAAAUGGAAGGAGGCUCCCAGAUAUUCAUGGGAUGUCACUUUUGGCAACAAUGGACCAUCAGUUAUCUGGGUUUUCUAGGUGUUUUGUAGCAAGGAGGGAUUUCAGACUAUGUAGUCUGCAAUAUUUCCAGAAAUAGAAAUCAUUCUUUUUUCCUCUAAUGACCCACACAACACCUGGGAAUUGCCAUAAAAUUCCCAGAAGAGGAGUAUGGUGAAGGAAAACCACUUUCCCUAGGUAUACUUUGUAUGGAACUGCCAGUGAAGCAGUAUAGAUAUGGGCAGAAGACACCACUCUCCUGGUGUCUCCUGAGAUCUGUGCUCUGACUGGUUUCCAUCUGUCGUCUUCUGCCAGUUUUGUUGGGACUCACCUUCCAUUUUCUCUCCACACAGGCUUGUUGAAAAUGUAGGAGCCAAUGUUUCCAACCGUCCCUGCUCCAAACUCUGAUGCAUACGCACCUGUGUACAGGGUGCACCCUGGCCUACAUGUUGUUUCAUCAUUGUGCAGUGCUCAAUGUGGUUAUUGUACAGCUUCAUUUUCAGUGAAAGCCACGGGAACAGAAGCCUCAUACAUUCCCCACCCAUCCCACUUUCACACAUCGGUCAUUCAAGAAAUAAAGGAAAGAAAGCAUUAAAUAUGACCCAGUCACAUCUUGGCCAUUAACAUAACAUUCUAAGAGAAGGAAAAAUAUCAUUAAUGGAGGAAAACACAUUACCUCCUAAAAUGCCACCAAAUUGCCGAAAUACAAGUUUGUUAGUGAUGGUGGUGGAGGGGGGUGGCGGGGGAGGGAGGGAAUAUUAUCAUGUGGAACCUCAGCAGUCUCUGAAAACCCUACAAAUUUCCCCCAUAUAACUACCAAAGUGAUGGGUUUGCUCCACAAGAACUGUUGUGACUUGGGAGUUUAAGUUCUUCAGAGGUGAGUUAGACAGCGAUGAUUCUUCGAAGAAAUUAAAACACUAUAUUUGAAUUCAGUUCCCAGGUUAUCACUGAGCUUGGGUUACCAAACAAUUCCUACAAUGUCUACAGUUCUAGGACACUACAAAGCAAAAUCUAGGGUUUCAGCCAAACCCUUCAAUCCAUAGGCCUAUGUAAAGGGCUGUCCCAAGGAACCAAUCAUCUAGCCCAUUGGUUCUCAAAGUAUGGUCUAAAGAGUCUUGGGGGGCUGGGUAAUCCCAGUGACUUGGGGGCUGAAGCAGGAGGAUCGAUAGUUCAAAGCAAGCCUCAGCAACUUAGUGAGGCCCUAAGCAACUUAGACCUUGUUUCAAAAUAAAAAGGGCUGGGGAUGUGGUUCCGUGGUUAAGCACCCCUGGGUUCAAUCUUCCUCCCCGCCAGCAAAGAUUCUUGGGAGUUUCUGAAGCCCUUUUAGUGGGUCUGUGGGAUAAAACUGUUUUUCCACAUUUUUACUGGUACGUUAUAUAUAAUGGUAGGAUUCGUUACAUAUUCAUACAUGGACACAAUACAACAAUAUAAUUUGGCCAGUAUUGUUGCCCAGUAUUGUCCUUUCCCUCCCCUCUUCCUCUCCUUCUGGUACCUUUCCUCUUCUCUACUGUCUCCCUUUAUCUUUCAUGAGAUAUCUCCGCCACCAUUCCUUUUCCUUUUCUCCUUUCUAGCUUUGACAUGAGAGGAAACAUAUGAAUCUUGACUUUCUGAGUUUGGAGGAAUGGCAUCCAGCUAAUCCGCGCUCCUCAGUAUUUACCCUAAAGAAUUGUAUUCGUCAUACUGUAGCAAUACAGGGAUGAAACUAUUUUACAAUAACAGUAAGGUGAUACUUUCUUUUUCACUCCCAUCAUCUCAUCUUUUCCAGAGGUGACAUGACAUGUGAUGUUGUCUCUGAUAGCUGAGGGAUGUGUGCUUCUGUGUUCUUGAAUUUUAAAUAUUUCUGACUCUCAAAAUCUAAGAUAAUUAUUAUCAGUAGAUACAACCUAAACUCCAAAACUCUUUGGGAUCCUCAAUAGUUUUUCAGGGUGUUAAGGUGCUUCUUUCUGAAGAGCAGAGUAAACCCUCUUGAGUAAAGAGACAACCUACUGAGCGGGAGAAGUGAUUAUUUCCAAACAAUACACAUGGCAUGGGGUUGAUAUCCAGCAUAUGUAAAGAACCCCAAUAACUCGGUUGCCCCAAAACAGAUAACCUGAUUAAAAAUGGGCAAUAGGGCUGGGGAUGUGGCUCAAGUGGUAGCGCGCUUGCCUGUCAUGCGUGUGGCCCGGGUUCGAUCCUCAGCACCACAUACAAACAAAGAUGUUGUGUCCGCCAAAAACUAAAAUAAAUAAAUAAAUAUUUAAAAAAAAAUUCUCUCUCUCUCUCUUUAAAAAAAAGGGGGGGGCCAAUAGACCUAGGUCAAUGUGACUCAAAGGAAGACAUUCAGAUGGCCAACAGAGACGUGAAAAUAUGCUGAGCAACACCAAUCAUAUCAGAAAUGGCAGGCAGCGCUUCGCCUGACCCCCUCUAAGAGGUCAGUUGUCAAAGAAAAAGAAAAAAAACAAAUGUUGGUGAGGAUGUGGAGGAAAAGGAACUCUCAUACAUUGCUGAUGGAAAUGUAAGUUGGUACAGUGAUUAUGAAAGACGGUAUGGAGGAUCUUUACGCAAUUAAAGGUAGAUCUCCCAUAUGAUGCAGCUACCUCACUUCUGGGCAUGUAUCCAAAGGAAAUGACUAUGAGCACACCAAAGAGAUCCUAGCAUGGUCUUGUUUAUUGCUGCAUUAUUCACAAUAGCCAAGAUAUGGAAUCAACCUAGAUGCCCAUGAACAGGUUAAUGGAUAAAGGAAAUGUCAUACAUAUGUGCAAUGGAAUACUAUCCAGUCAUAAAAGAAUCUUAUCAUUUGUAUAAAAAUAGAUGAGAUUAGAGGACAUUAUGUUAAGGGAAGUGGAUCAGAUAGAAAAACAAGUACCACAUGUUCUCCCUUGUGGAUAUUAAGACCAAAAUUUAGGUGAAUUGUUGAUUUAUCAGUGUUAUUUCUAGAAUGGAUUUCAUUCUAACUAUCCUAGUCAGAAGGAAAAUUUACCUACUCAGUAUUGCUUUGAUUUCAAUAUGGAGAAUCAAAGGAAUUCUCUAUGUUUCUGAAGUAUAGUUACCAAAAUUAUCUAAAAAGGUUUAGAAAAUGUGAGCUCAUGUUAUAGCUUAGGGGAAAGAUCUACCCCACUAGAUGGUUGACAGAAGCCCCCCUCUCUGUAACAUGUUCCCAUGCUAGAGAAAGGGGCCGCUUCUGUCUCAUGGGAUGGGAUAGAGAGACAAUAUGUAGUAGAUUUUCACACAAUAUUAUUCUGCUGAUAUGAAAUUCUGGUAGCCAAGGUGGCAGGUAUGUUCUUAAUCCCAAUGCUGUCAAAUUUAAGCCUGGAGCCCCAAGAGACGAGCGGUAUUUAAGACAUCAUCUCUUGUUAAGUAGCAGCCACACAGUUGGCGGUAGCCAGUGAAGGAUUCCCUGCCAUGUAGGACUCUCCAGUUGUCUAUAAAUAGGACCUGUGAAUGAAUAAAAAGAGAAAACAUCAUCAGAACAAGCGCAAACCCAAAGAACCCUAAAUCAGAAGAGAUCAUGUAAAAAGCAAAGCGUUAGGUGGUUCUAUGGUUACAUUCUGUGCGAUAUUUUUAUUUUUAAAUUAAGCAGACUUUUGGAAGCCCAGACGGGUGUAACCCUGUAGCAGGAUAAAUGGAAGUUGCAAAGGCAAUAGUAGGUAAUAAAUGGGCCCUGCCCUUGAGGGGUUUAUGUUUCUUGAAUAAUUGUCCUCUUUUCAAAGCAAAUCAUGUAAUUUGAUUCUUUCGUUUUCUUUUCUACUUCUCACUCUAUACUUUCUCAAAGGGUUAAGCUAUUUUAUUAUGUUUUAUGAAGAUAUUCUCCAUCCAGAGGAAAUAAAGAUGAAAAAAAAAUGGAAUCAUGAAGGUGGAGGGACUCUUAGGGAUCAUGCAGUUAAAACCCCUCGUCAUUCACAUAGAGUCACAGAUGUCAGAGAUGGGGUGGGGCCUGCUCCCAGGUCAUUCAGUGAGUGAGUGGCAGGACCACAGCCAGCACCUAGGACUUUUUUUUUCCCCCUCUGUUUCCUUUGCAACAACACGACACAUACUAAACAAGUACCAUUAUUGAUUGAUUUGUUUAUUUUU